AAUGAAAGAAUUUGGUUGAUCCAAAAAAGUAGUAAUAAGCUCGUCUCAAAGAUUAAGCCAUGCAGGUGUAAGUAUAAAUAAUAAAACUUUGAAGAAAGGCUCAUAAUUUCAGAUAUAGUUUAUUAGAAAUAAUUUAAUACUUGGAAAACAGAAAAAAUUCUAGGGAUAAUACAUGAGAAAUCCUCGAAUUUGAAGAGGUGUGUUUAUUAGUAUGAAAACCAUAUGCUUUUGCAUAAUAGUGAGUAAUAAAAACCUUUCAUAUGUAUGUUGUAAACGAUAGUUCUUUCAAGUUUCUACCCUAUCAGCUUUCGAUGGUAGUGCAUUGGACUACCAUGGCAGUAACGGGUAACGAAGAAUUAGGGUUCGAUUUCGGAGAGGGAGCCUGAGAGAUGGCGACCACAUCCAAGGAAGGCAGCAGGCGCGUAAAUUACCCAAUCCUGACAUAGGGAGGUAGUGACAAUAAAUCACAAUGCGGGACUUUUAGUUUUGCAAUUGGAUUGAGAACAAUGAAAAGAGUUAUCGAUAAACAAUUGGAGGGCAAGUGGUGCCAGCAGCCGCGGACUAAAA
This 567-nucleotide ribosomal RNA is filed under the name Blastocystis sp. subtype 5. RNAcentral describes it as "bacterial SSU rRNA". It matches the Rfam family "Eukaryotic small subunit ribosomal RNA", at positions 1 to 584 of the family's 1831-position model. The record is from RNAcentral. Lineage: Eukaryota; Bigyra; Opalinata; Blastocystidae.